This 486-nucleotide long non-coding RNA is filed under the name Homo sapiens (human). RNAcentral's name for it is "long non-coding RNA NONHSAT258696". The record is from RNAcentral. Lineage: Eukaryota; Metazoa; Chordata; Mammalia; Primates; Hominidae.
GGAGAUGGGUAGUAUCAUUUAGAUUAACAUUUGGGGCCUGAUAGGGGAAAUGGUGAAGCAAUGGAAAAGAACAGACAACUAAUGAUUUGCUUCUAUGUCCAGAAUAUUUUACCUUUAAAAAAAAUGUCAUUGGCACCAUAAAUAAGGACUGUGAGAGACUGUUUAAAAGCUGUGAAUGUCUGAAACCUAUAAGCCAAGGUGUUCCCUGCCUAAACUUAUUGCUGUUCCCACAAAGGACUAAGCCUGUUCAUAAGUUACCAAAGUUGCCAUUUUGGAGAUGGAAAUUGACAAGGAGGGAAGGUCUUUUAUUGGAGAGUAUACAGUACAAGCAGAUCAUUCUGUCUUAGAGGUGCUAAUUCCUGAAAUUAGAAGACCCUUUCUUUUCCAGUAACGAAGUUAUAAAUAUCAGCUUGUUCAUCCAAGACACUGGCUGAGGUGUUAGGGAAGAGGAAGAGGGUGGUAGAGGAGAUAAGACAGUAGGGAAAG